AUGUCAAAGCGAGGACGUGGUAGGUCCUCUGGUGUGAAAUUCUGGAUUUCCUUGGGUCUUCCAGUAGGAGCUGUGAUCAACUGCUGACAACACAGGAGCCAAAAACCUGUAUAUCAUCUCCGUGAAGGGGAUCAAGGGACAGCGGAACAGACUUUCUGCUGCUAGUGUGGGUGACAUGGUGAUGGCCACAGUCAAGAAGGGCAAACCAGAGCUCAGAAAAAUGGUACAUCCAGCAGCGGUCAUUAGACAACCAAAGUCAUACCGGAGAAAAGAUGGUGUGUUUCUUUAUUCCGAAGAUAAUGCAGGGGUCAUAGUGAAUAAUAAAGGCAAAAUGAAAGGUUCUGCCAUUAUAGGACCAGUAGCAAAGGAGUAUGCAGACUUGUGGCCCUGGAUUGUGUCCAAUGCUCGCAGCAUUGCAUGA
This 421-nucleotide long non-coding RNA is filed under the name Homo sapiens (human). Its description in RNAcentral is "non-protein coding lnc-LTN1-2:2". The record is from RNAcentral. Lineage: Eukaryota; Metazoa; Chordata; Mammalia; Primates; Hominidae.